Molecule: non-coding RNA, 28 nt
Filed under: Mus musculus (house mouse)
Lineage: Eukaryota; Metazoa; Chordata; Mammalia; Rodentia; Muridae
Source: RNAcentral
UGAUUUGCCUCCCACUAAACAAGUACUC